UCAAGAACCUUCCACAAUGGACGAAAGUCUGAUGGAGCGACGCCGCGUGACUGAUGAAGUGCUUCGGCAUGUAAAGGUCUUUUAUAGGGGAAGAAAUUAUUGACGGUACCCUAAGAAUAAGGAGCUCCCAAUCUCGUGCCAGCAGGAGCGGUAAUACGAGAGCUUCAAGCGUUAUCCGGAAUCACUGGGCGUAAAGGGUGCGUAGGCGGUUAUGUUAGUCGUUCGUUAAAUCCCCGAGCUUAACUUGGGA
RNAcentral lists this ribosomal RNA (250 nucleotides) under uncultured bacterium. RNAcentral describes it as "partial 16S ribosomal RNA". It matches the Rfam family "Bacterial small subunit ribosomal RNA", at positions 355 to 619 of the family's 1533-position model. The record is from RNAcentral.